This 220-nucleotide long non-coding RNA is filed under the name Vigna radiata. RNAcentral describes it as "long non-coding RNA (VRAD_LNC002535)". Lineage: Eukaryota; Viridiplantae; Streptophyta; Magnoliopsida; Fabales; Fabaceae. The record is from RNAcentral.
CAAAACUUUAUCUUCAUCAUUUUGCUAACAUUCUCCCCCUUUUUGAUGAUGAUCAAAAACUCCUUUGAAUUAAAGUUUUUAGUAAUAAUCAGAGUAAAAACACAACUCAUGAAAGACAAGGGCAUUAGUGAAUAACAAUAAGCUUUAAGAUAUUUUCUCCCCCUUUUUUAUCAUAAUUAAAAAGUUGUGUUUCAUGUUCUNCCCCUAAGAUAAUACUCCC